UUGAUCAGGACAUGGCCAC
This 19-nucleotide non-coding RNA is filed under the name Rattus norvegicus (Norway rat). The record is from RNAcentral. Lineage: Eukaryota; Metazoa; Chordata; Mammalia; Rodentia; Muridae.